This is an RNA transcript of Rhopilema esculentum, 5368 nucleotides long. It is a transcript of the gene named coiled-coil domain-containing protein 25, with no coding region annotated. The record is from RefSeq and is a predicted model, not a curated record. NCBI's taxonomy places the organism in Eukaryota, Metazoa, Cnidaria, Scyphozoa, Rhizostomeae, Rhizostomatidae.
GGUAGACUUCCAACAUGUUAUUUACAAUGCUAUGAAAUGUUAUUUGUCCUACUGACAUAAAGGUAAAUCAAGGAGCAGGUAGUCACACUAACUGAAAUAUGUUGGUGGUAAAACAGGCAUUCGUAAACUCGAACUUGUAGUGCAUCGUGAGGAGAAGACGUUAUGAUGGUAGAGCGUCGGAACCGAGGACAGUCAAUGGAUACUGAUUCCAAUUCUGAAAUGUCGUGCUGUGCUAGAGAAUCUACAAAGGAGGUUUUGAAGAACUUGACAAUCAUGGUUCCUGCAUUCUACAUGGUUCUCUACUCUCUGUCAUCAAUCAUUCAUGCAAUUUAUGGAUUGUCAUUUCACAUAAGAGCACCAUUUCAUACAAAAGAGUGUUGCUUGAAAGGGAGUGCUUACCAAACUACUGGGAUCUCACUGAUUGCAACAUAUUUUGUAGCAGCAAUUUUAUUUUUACUUGUUACCACCAAGUGUCUUUGGGAUCACAUUGCUACUGUCACAAUAUUUCACAUAUUGGUGACAUCAGCAGUUAUGGUUGAAUUUCCAACAAACUGGGAAUGGUGGGUAGCAUUAGCAAUUGGAAUCUUUGUGGGUGUCUUUUUUGGAGAAUCUUUUGCGUUUUGCAUCAGAAGAAGAAAAGUUAGACAACUAGAACCAAUCAGAACUAACAAUGUAAGAAGUUGAUAUGGUGUUUGCAAAACUUUACCUUUGAUUAUUUGUAUUUAGAUGUAAAACUCUUCUAUGGCAAUCAACUGUUUUACCAUGUUCUGGCCAUUAAAUUCUCAAUGAAUGACACAUCAGGCAAACAUAUAUUUGAUAAGCGGAAUUGAAAGACAGCAUCAGAUUUGCUAAACAGAAUUGAAAUACAGCAUUGCAAAUGGAUUUCAGAUUUAUAUUACCUGGUGCUUGAAAAAAUGUUUUUUCAAAAUAGAGAAAAAGCAACACUUUUUAUUGUUGAGGAGACAAGCAAGAUAUAGUGUUUUGAUGAGUGAGGCAACACUCUGUCCUGGAGUAAAGGAGGAUGUACAUGGAAUAAAGCUAUAGGGAUGUUAUCUGGCUCUAAGAGGGAGGGUUGCCUCACAUAUUUGAAGGUCUUCUUUGCUCACCUCCUAAACAAUUUUAAGAAAUUGGUUUGUAAAUGUGGCUUUUUUAUAAGUCACUUCCCAUCAAAUAUCUCUAAAGGUUGUUUUGAAAAAUAUUUCAUGAUUAAUUGAAGAAUUCUUUAGUAAAUGCUUUGUAGAUAAGUAAAUAUAAAACUACAUUUUGUUGUACCGCUACUGCAUUGCUUUCUUAGAUUGUAAAAUUGAAACCUAAAGAUGUAUAAUAGCAUGUACAUAUUUAGAGCACAUUUAGAUUUUAGAUGUAUUGUAUUUAUAGAUAGCUUAUUUAUUGUAAUGUUUUGACAACCAUUCUUUUUCAUUCUUAAAUCCUCAAACUGCAAGUUUCUCCAUAGUGCAAUUAUGCUGUGGACAAUGAAAAAUUAAGAAAAUACUUUCAGAGUGAGAAGUGCUGUAGUUCUUCAUUAUGAAGGUGCAACAUUUCCAACUAGCAUUACUAUAUCACAAAAUGGCUCAAGGAUCAAUCAAAUUUGUGCAUAUCUAGUCCUUUUUUGUGAUUUAAAAAACUAAGAUAUCCUCCCAAUACAACUGUAUUUUUACAUUCUAGCAGUAUAGACUCUGAAAAAUUCAUAAAAGAUUAAAGUUUGACAAUUUUAACAUUGACUGAAUUUUUAAUAUCCUGAAAUUUUAAUAUUUACAUACCACACAGUCUGUAACUUGCUUACAAAAAUUUAAAACAAGGUAAUGUAGUAUCCUUAAAAAAUAGUUGUUGUCUAGUCAAUGAGAAGCUCCUUCUGUCUUCUUACAGUUUGCUGGCCAGACCUCCCAAGUGUUCUUGCCAGGUCACCAGAACGCAAAUUAUUACUUCCAAUCUCAUAUGAAGCAUUAUAUGUUGUCUCAAGCAAAUCUCCACCACUGAGCUUGCUUCCAGGUUUUGGAGAAAUGAUCUUUGUUCUGCCAAUGUCAGAGUAAUUGUAUGUUUCUUGCAACUUAGGGCUGGCCACUGCAUUACGAAAUUCAACUGUGUCUUUAUCAAUAACUUCACCUAAUGGCGAUGCUCUAUCUGCUCCAGGGCUUAACCUUGAAAGGGCUUGGGUGACCUCUUCAACACUUCGAUCUGGUAUGAAGUCAGGGUCUGUUAAGUUCUUUCUUAUAUCCAUACAUCUAUUAUCCAGUGCUAAUGAUUUAGUCUUAAUAGCUAGAUCUUCCUCAAUCCUUGCCAGAUCUCUCUCAAGACUCUCCAGGGCACUUUCUGCUGUCUGGAGUUUUUCAACCAAUGCCUUGAUAGACCCGUCAAUUUCUGCCACUUCAUAGCAAAGCUGAUACUGUGGGAUAUCCCUACAAAGUUCAACAUUUGGUCGUCGAGUUCGGUUUUCAAGUCUUGUUUGUGCUACCUUCAAUGAAAAAAACAUGUUUGUCAACAAAACAAAUUAAACAAGUUUGGUUUACAAAGCACAGGGCUUUUUGUUCAUGCACAAGAAAUUUCUGAUACUGCAUUUUCAUUCUGAAAUAAAAAGUUUGAUUCAUCAAGAGAAACAGUUUGCAGAAACUUGAACGCAAGUGACUAGGUUACACCUUGGAUCAGAAUAAGUUUCAAUGCUUACAUAAACAUCAUAUGUGUUCAAUGAAAUGAUUAGAUUAUACUAAACGUACCUUCAUGGGUGCCAUCUUUGCUUCUAUUGAUUCCCUGAGUCCCCUGAUAUCAUCAAGCAAAACAGCUAUUUCUUCUUUGGUCUAAAUUUAAGUAGAUAAAAAUAAACAGUUUUAAUUGAUAAUAUUGAAGCAAACAUUUGAACAAGUAUCACAAAUCUUGUUUGGAAUUGAAGUAGUAUUAUAUUUCUUGUGUUCCCUGGCAUAUAGUACAUAAGUUGUUGACAAUUUCCCAGUUGACUAUUUGGUAUUUUGAAUCAAGCAACUCUGUUAAGAACUCAUUAUUAUCUAUUAUGACCACCGCUAUAUACCUAUCGCUAAUCAUGCUGUUUACUAUUCUGUUAUAUUAUGCCUAGUGCAUAGCUCUGGUCUUGUGAUCCUGACGCUUGCACAGCAAUAUAUCUACUUUUAGAAUUUGUAAUGUUCUCGAUUGCUUCUUCAUGUUAUGUUCAGAUACAAGUUGUGUUUGCUUUACACUGUUAUCUUAAUAAACUCUUGCUCUGCUAUCUCAUUUCCUAAGGUACAAAGCAAAACACAGGUCUAGCCAAAUACCAAUACUAUUAUCAAGGUGCAUUAGGACAGCAAUAGAUUCUAGAGCAAAUAACAAUAUUAGAAAUGGCCUAUUGAUAUACUCACGUUUCUUUGCUGCCAUUCAAGUUCAUUUUUGGCUUGCUUUGUUUCAUGCAUUCUUUUCCUAUAGCUGUAUUCAGUGGCCCUUCUCUGGGCUUCCAAAUCAUUCUUUGUUUUCUCCAGGGUUGCAAAUAUAGCUUCUCUCAGUCUCUCUGCUGCUUUCAUUUCUGCCUCAGCCCUGAGUUUGUUGUACUGUGAAUGGGCAUCCCACGUUUCAGGAGUGACAACACCCUUCAUGAUGCGUGUUGGGUUCACUUGAAAAUCAAUAUCUGCUGAGCCAUUGUGCAGCCCUGCACAAUGAUUAUCAAUCUCAAGUGCAACAUGUUUAUCAGUGACAUCACAGUGCAUCUGAUGGUAUGCUUCUUCAAGCAAGCUGGAAACAAAGUAAAGAUUGAUAAACCAUUUUAAUUCAAGUGGGUACAACCUUUAUUUACAGAAAAGACAUGAUACAUUUCAAGUUACAUUAGCAAUGGUGUGUGGAAAGUAUAUAACUAUUUUGCUGAAAAUUAUGUGAAUUUGGCAGUCUGAUAUGAUUUUUUUUAAUAGUGCACUUAUUGCUAGAAAUUCUACUUUUGCUUUAAAUUCAAUGCUUUGUUGUACAGAAAAAACACAUAUUUGGGCAAUAAUUUGAUGUUUCAAACCCAUCCAAGGCUUUCUAAGGCAACAAGAAUAGAUAUGUUUAUCACAAUUUCAAUAAACAGUUCAAUCUCCUAUUUCCAAAUGUGGUCAUUAUAAAUCAUAAUUGGUCAAACAGCCACAGGUGAAUUUGAUCAAAUUUGCAGGUCUUUUAGAUAACUGAAAUAAACGUCUUCAGGGAAAAGCAACAACCCAAAUUGUUAUAUUGAAACAGAAUGUGUGAACUCAGUCUUACCAUAACUGUUCAAAAGCUUCUGUUAUCUUUUGCUGAAGCAAAGCUUUUAUUCCCUCAAUCACUUCCACUUCCUGAAAUUUAGAAAUAAUCAAAUAAGAAUUGUAAUUCAUCUGAACUAGACACUGUGAAUAAUAUAGAUAGAUAUUGUACUAAUAUACUUUUAUAUAAAUACCUUGUGGAGCUGUUCUUCGACCUCAUCUCUCACUAAAUCGAUUCCAUCUCUGUUUUCUCGGAGCAUCAAACAUUCAAUUGCCACAUUCAGUGGCAGUUUCUUAGCAUCAAGAGCUCUUUCAGUUUUCUCUUUCUCAGCUUGAAGUGCAGUAAUCUCCCUUUGUGUAUCAUCAAGACAUCGCUCUAAAGCUUCUCUCCACUCGUUUAUAUCGUCGAUCCUCUUUUCAAGCUUUGUGUUACUGUCAUGUUGGGUCCAUCUUGUGUGGUUAUCAGUUUCAUUGCGAAGCCUUCUUGCCUCUUGUCUCACGUCAUGCGAAGCAUUCCUAAGUCGCUCUGCAUUUGUUCUCAAAAUCUUGUUUGAAGUGUGCCAGUCUGACACAGCAUAUCUUGGUGGGACCUUCUUCGAUGCCAAAGCCAUGUUAUUCCCGUUCCUUCUUCUUCCAAAUGUUGGUGAAAGUGUUUUCGGGUGAGUGUUUUACGUUCUUUUGUUAUGUAUCCAUGACAAUUCCAUAGUGACAAGCACGAGUAAACCUCUGCUUAAUGGGGAGGCUGUAAAUAUUGUAACGAGGCAAAACGGACAUGGAGAUGAUUCUUGCUUAUUCGAAACGUUAGAAAACAGAAAUACAAUCCACCAGCAAUUCAAAAUGGUUUUUUACUUCACGUGUAAUGUUACAAGUCCACCAAUAACAAUUUAUGUGGGAAGAGACAAAUAUGAAAAUGAAGAUUUAAUAAAAUGGGGUUGGCCAGAGGAUGUUUCAUGUGGAUAAAUUGUCAUCUGCUCACAUUUAUCUAAGGAUGCCAGAGGGAAUGACAGUUGAUGACAUACCACCUGAUGUCCUUACAGACUGUGCACAAUUAACAAAAGCCAAUAGCAUUCAAGGGUGCAAAAUGAAUGAUGUCGCUAUUGUAUAUACACCUUGGUCAAAUCUAAAGAAAACUGGUGAUAUGGAUGUUGGGCAAGUUGGAUUUCAUAAAAAUAAGUUGGUAA